Molecule: transfer RNA, 75 nt
Filed under: Bacillota bacterium
Lineage: Bacteria; Bacillati; Bacillota
Also listed under: 1 other name
Description: Firmicutes bacterium (gut metagenome) tRNA-Gln
Rfam family: tRNA
About the family: Transfer RNA (tRNA) molecules are approximately 80 nucleotides in length. Their secondary structure includes four short double-helical elements and three loops (D, anti-codon, and T loops).
Source: RNAcentral
UGGGGUGUCGCCAAGUGGCAAGGCAGCGGUUUUUGGAGCCGCUAUUCGUUGGUUCGAAUCCAGCCACCCCAGCCA